AGUGAACGCUGGCGGUAGGCCUAACACAUGCAAGUCGAACGGCAGCACAGUAAGAGCUUGCUCUUACGGGUGGCGAGUGGCGGACGGGUGAGGAGUACAUCGGAAUCUACUUUUUCGUGGGGGAUAACGUAGGGAAACUUACGCUAAUACCGCAUACGACCUACGGGUGAAAGCAGGGGAUCUUCGGACCUUGCGCGAUUGAAUGAGCCGAUGUCGGAUUAGCUAGUUGGCGGGGUAAAGGCCCACCAAGGCGACGAUCCGUAGCUGGUCUGAGAGGAUGAUCAGCCACACUGGAACUGAGGCAAGGGCCAAGCUCCUACGGGAGGCAGCAGUGGGGAAAAUUGGACCAUGGGGGCAAGCCUGAUCCAGCCAUACCGCGUGGGUGAAGAAGGCCUUCGGGUUGUAAAGCCGUUUUGUUGGGAAAGAAAAGCAGCAGGUUAAUACCCCGCUGUUCUGACGGUAACCGAAGAAUAAGCAACGGCUAAAUUCGUG
Molecule: ribosomal RNA, 492 nt
Filed under: uncultured bacterium
Lineage: Bacteria
Description: partial 16S ribosomal RNA
Rfam family: Bacterial small subunit ribosomal RNA
Source: RNAcentral